RNAcentral lists this ribosomal RNA (490 nucleotides) under uncultured bacterium. RNAcentral's name for it is "partial 16S ribosomal RNA". It matches the Rfam family "Bacterial small subunit ribosomal RNA", at positions 30 to 507 of the family's 1533-position model. The record is from RNAcentral.
AUUGAACGCUGGCGGCAGGCCUAACACAUGCGAGUCGAACGGUAACAGGGAUCAGCUUGCUGAUUCGCUGACGAGUGGCGGACGGGUGAGUAAUGUCUGGGAAACUGCCUGAUGGAGGGGGAUAACUACUGGAAACGGUAGCUAAUACCGCAUAACGUCGCAAGACCAAAGAGGGGGACCUUCGGGCCUCUUGCCAUCGGCUGUGCCCAGAUGGGAUUAGCUAGUAGGUGGGGUAACGGCUCACCUAGGCGACGAUCCCUAGCUGGUCUGAGAGGAUGACCAGCCACACUGGAACUGAGACACGGUCCAGACUCCUACGGGAGGCAGCAGUGGGGAAUAUUGCACAAUGGGCGCAAGCCUGAUGCAGCCAUGCCGCGUGUAUGAAGAAGGCCUUCGGGUUGUAAAGUACUUUCAGCGGGGAGGAAGGGAGUAAAGUUAAUACCUUUGCUCAUUGACGUUACCCGCAGAAGAAGCACCGGCUAACUCCGUG